CUCCUUUAAGGAUCUUUCCAAAGGUCUUCAAUUUUGAUAUAAGCAACAAAGAAUAAGAGGGCUAUUAGAUCAGAAAUAUUCCAUGAAGAAGGGAGCAAAGAUUCAUGUCACUGACAACUGGAGAAGAAACAGAGAAAGGGUACUCAUGAUGUGUGACAAAUGGCAUGCCUCCUGCAAGAGUUAUGAGUUAUGUGCCUAAACAGGGAGGAUCAUCUCAUUGCAGAAUUAGGGCAUCAUCCAGUGGGAAGGGAGUUUCAAGGUCAUUUAGUCCAGCCUCCGAGUGAUACAGAAAUUCUCUUUGCAGCAUCCCUAUCACGUGGCCAUCAAACUUCUACUAGUGUAUUCAUCCACACCUGGUCUGUCUAAAACCUUGAGAACAGCCCCUUGUAUAGUUCAAUAGCCCCAGCUGAAGGAAAAGGUUUUGUUAUUUUCAGUAAACAUAUUCUGUUGUAUAA
RNAcentral lists this long non-coding RNA (455 nucleotides) under Pan troglodytes (chimpanzee). RNAcentral describes it as "lincRNA". The record is from RNAcentral. Lineage: Eukaryota; Metazoa; Chordata; Mammalia; Primates; Hominidae.